UUCUCAGGGCUUGUCUACAUCAGAAAGUUGCAGCGCUGGUGAGGGAGUUACAGCGCUGCAACUUUGAAGGUGUACACAUCUGCAGGGCACCACCAGCGCUGCAACUCCCUGUUUGCAGCGCUGGCCGUACUCCCGUUUUGUCUCGGGUGUAGAGGAUCCAGCGCUGGUGAUCCAGCGCUGGUAAUCCAAUGUAGACACUUACCAGCGCUUUUCUUGACCUCCGUGGAAGGAGGAAGCCUCUGGUAAUCAAGCGGGUCUCCUUUCCCGGUUUGCUCUCUCGUUCCCGGAGCCCAGAGCAAGCAGGUCUCCUUCCCUGCGGUUUGCUGGGUGGCUCCAGGAACGCGAGAGCAAACCGCGGCGAAGCGGGUCUCCUUUCCCGGUUUGCUCUCUCGUUCCCGGAGCCCCGAGCAAGCAGGUCUCCUUCCCUGCGGUUUGCUGGGUGGCUCCGGGAACGCGAGAGCAAACCGCGGCGAAGCGGGUCUCCUUUCCCGGUUUGCUCUCUCGUUCCCGGAGCCCCGAGCAAGCAGGUCUCCUUCCCUGCGGUUUGCUGGGUGGCUCCGGGAACGCGAGAGCAAACCGCGGCGAAGCGGGUCUCCUUUCCCGGUUUGCUCUCUCGUUCCCGGAGCCCCGAGCAAGCAGGUCUCCUUCCCUGCGGUUUGCUGGGUGGCUCCGGGAACGCGAGAGCAAACCGCGGCGAAGCGGGUCUCCUUUCCCGGUUUGCUCUCGCGUUCCCGGAACCCCCCUUGAAGCCGCCCAACAGCGCUGCAGUGUGGCCACAUCUAACACCACUUGCAGCGCUGGUUGCUGUAAGUGUGGCCACUCUGCAGCGCUGGCCCUAUACAGCUGUACUAAUACAGCUGUAACAACCAGCGCUGCAAAACUUUAGAUGUAGACAUGGCCUC
Long non-coding RNA from Gopherus flavomarginatus (Mexican gopher tortoise), 902 nucleotides. RefSeq lists it as uncharacterized. The transcript has 4 exons. Lineage: Eukaryota; Metazoa; Chordata; Testudines; Testudinidae. The record is from RefSeq and is a predicted model, not a curated record.